Molecule: unclassified non-coding RNA, 1788 nt
Filed under: Agrilus planipennis (emerald ash borer)
Lineage: Eukaryota; Metazoa; Arthropoda; Insecta; Coleoptera; Buprestidae
Description: uncharacterized LOC108734598, transcript variant X1
Source: RNAcentral
AGUAUGCAUUAUAUUUAUAAAUAAAUAAUACAAAAAUACGGUUGUUUCUUUUCGAAAUAAAUUGCAAAAUAUGCCACAUUCAUCAUCAAGUCUUUAGCCCGAAGAUUAAUUAGACACAAUUCGACUUCUUCCUAUCUUGAAUCAAUCCUUACAUUUCUCGAAAGCUGGAGCACCCUACAUCUCCAACUAUUUGCGAGCAGUAAACUAAUCUACCUCUCUUGACUCCUGUUUCUGCUUCUAAAAUGUCUCUCUUCUAACCCUAACUAACCCUUCGUGUCUGAAAAUGUGCCUGCCUAACUUCGGCUAUUUCUUAUCGACUUCUACAACCCCCUCUGCUAUCCUAUUCUUCCUAAUACCUCCUGAUUUCUAAUCUAAUCUAACCUAACCUAACAUCACAUGUUAAUAUUUCUAACUCUUUGUUUUAUAACUCUUUCUAUCUCGAAUUAUCUGACACCCCAAAUAUCGAAAAAUCAGGGACCUCUUCUAGCUCUUCGUCUCCUAUUUUUGUAUUAAUUCUAACCCUACUUUUACAUUCCUUGCAUACCACAAUUUUUGUUUCAUUUUUAUUAAUUUUCAUGUCAAUACUGCUUCUAUUUUAUUUAAACCUAUCUCUGUACUCCUCCUUGCUACUGUUAAUAAAUCAUUUACAAAUUUAGGAUGCUAAUAUUUAUCCCUGUGUAUUCAUCCCUUUGGUAGUUUUAAAAAAAUAUCAAAAAAUGUACAGUCAAUGAAAGAACGGCUUACAUGCAGAAGCGAUGAAAGUUUUCGAAAAUCCUCCGGUGUAGUGGUAAGUAUACUACUCAACUUUGUUUUUCACUUUAGGACUCCAGUGAUCGUAUUUUUUUUAAAUACUAGAUCUCCUAAAAUUCGAUAAUGAAUUUUAAAUGAUCUUUUAAUUUUUGCCCUUCAACCACGAAAUAUUUGCUUUAAAAGUCGUCAUCAGAACAGCUCCUCUCUUGAAUGUCUAAAGUAUCGAUGAAAAAACAUUUGAGAAAGCUAUUGAAUAUUGGAGUAUUUUCGUGAAAAAUUUCCGAGAUAAUUUCUGAAUUUUAAUUGAAAAGUUAAUUAAUAUUGUAAUAAUAAAUUCAAAAGUAAUUAGUUGCGAUAUUAAGCAAAAAUGCUAACUUUAAAACCGUAUAGGUAUGACAAGAUUUUCUUAAACCUGACUAAGAUUAAACCCAUAGCAUAAACUGUUUGCCUUCCAUUUGAAAUAAAACCUAGAGGGUCAUCAAAUAGGUGAAACAAAGCUCGACUUCAGUGUGAAAUUUUUAAUCCAGAACAGUAAUUUCUUUAGAAAUAUCAAUUUUCUAUUUUUUGACAUGCCAAUGUUGACGUCAAAAUUCAAUGAAGUUUUUUCAUUUACAUUAAUAUAUUAUGUAUUUAUUCAGUGUUAAGUAGAAUUUAUCGACACUUCGGAACUAUAAAAUCCAAAUAAAAUAUGAUAAACUAUUAAGGUAAUUUCAAAUGAGAAAUGGUAUAAAUGCAGUGCUGUGGUGCCUAAUUAUGAUUAUAUUUUCGUACGUGAUAGCCAUUAUUUCUGGAAUCGCAUACGUGUUUGCAACGUGUCUACAUCCUUUCUAUCCUAGUUUAACAACAAAGUAAGGUGUGACACAGGACGUUUGCUUUUAAUAGGAAUGCAGGUGGAUUCUUUUAGAAGGGCUCAAUUUCCCUCAGUUUUGUGCAAUGAAGAUGAUGAACGAAGAUCCCGUCUGUUUUGACGACGAAUCCUGUUCGGAAAUAAGCACCAGCACGAAAACUGCGUCGAAUAUCUCAUCCUGUGGGGAAAUU